GAUGAAGAACGUAGCGAAAUGCGAUAAGUAGUGUGAAUUGCAGAAUUCAGUGAAUCAUCGAAUCUUUGAACGCACAUUGCGCCCGCCAGUAUUCUGGCGGGCAUGCCUGUUCGAGCGUCAUUUCAACCAUCAAGCCCCCGGGCUUGUGUUGGGGACCUGCGGCUGCCGCAGGCCCUGAAAAGCAGUGGCGGGCUCGCUGUCACACCGAGCGUAGUAGAUUUUAUCUCGCUCAGGGCGUGCUGCGGGUUCCGGCCGUUAAACCACCUUCAUAACCCAAGGUUGACCUCGGAUCAGGUAGGAAGACCCGCUGAACUUAAGCAUAUCAAUAAGCGGAGGA
Molecule: unclassified non-coding RNA, 337 nt
Filed under: soil metagenome
Description: partial contains 5.8S ribosomal RNA, internal transcribed spacer 2, and large subunit ribosomal RNA
Rfam family: 5.8S ribosomal RNA (bases 1-120)
Source: RNAcentral